This 468-nucleotide ribosomal RNA is filed under the name uncultured bacterium. Its description in RNAcentral is "partial 16S ribosomal RNA". It matches the Rfam family "Bacterial small subunit ribosomal RNA", at positions 28 to 507 of the family's 1533-position model. The record is from RNAcentral.
GACGAACGCUGGCGGCGUGCUUAACACAUGCAAGUCGAACGGAAAGGCCCUGCUUUUGUGGGGUGCUCGAGUGGCGAACGGGUGAGUAACACGUGAGUAACCUGCCCUUGACUUUGGGAUAACUUCAGGAAACUGGGGCUAAUACCGGAUAGGAGCUCCUGCUGCAUGGUGGGGGUUGGAAAGUUUCGGCGGUUGGGGAUGGACUCGCGGCUUAUCAGCUUGUUGGUGGGGUAGUGGCUUACCAAGGCUUUGACGGAUAGCCGGCCUGAGAGGGUGACCGGCCACAUUGGGACUGAGGUACGGCCCAGACUCCUACGGGAGGCAGCAGUGGGGAAUAUUGCACAAUGGGCGGAAGCCUGAUGCAGCAGCGCCGCGUGCGGGAUGACGGCCUUCGGGUUAUAAACCGCUUUCGCCUGUGACGAAGCGUGAGUGACGGUAAUGGGUAAAGAAGCACCGGCUAACUACGUG